UACGUAGGGGGCAAGCGUUGUCCGGAAUCAUUGGGCGUAAAGAGCGUGUAGGCGGCCAGAUAAGUCCGCUGUGAAAACUCGAGGCUCAACUUCGAGCUGUCGGUGGAAACUAUUUGGCUAGAGUCCGGAAGAGGAGAGUGGAAUUCCUGGUGUAGCGGUGAAAUGCGCAGAUAUCAGGAAGAACACCCGUGGCGAAGGCGGCUCACUGGCCCGGUACUGACGCUGAGGUGCGAAAGCGUGGGGAGCAAACAGG
This 253-nucleotide ribosomal RNA is filed under the name uncultured bacterium. RNAcentral's name for it is "partial 16S ribosomal RNA". It matches the Rfam family "Bacterial small subunit ribosomal RNA", at positions 524 to 776 of the family's 1533-position model. The record is from RNAcentral.